CCUACGGGUGGCAGCAGUCGAGAAUCAUUCACAAUGGGGGAAACCCUGAUGGGGCGACGCCGCGUGGGGGAAUGAAGGUCUGCGGAUUGUAAACCCCUGUCAUGUGGGAGCAAAGUAAAAAGAUAGUACCACAAGAGGAAGAGACGGCGAACUCUGAGCCAGCAGCCGCGGUAAUACAGAGGUCUCAAGCGUUGGUCGGAACCACUGGGCGUAAAGCGUGCGUAGGCUUUUUCGUAAGUCGUGUGUGAAAGGCGCGGGCUCAACCCGCGGACGGCACCUGAUACUGCGAGACUAGAGUACUGGCGGGGGAACCGGAAUUCUCGGUGUAGCCGU
Molecule: ribosomal RNA, 333 nt
Filed under: uncultured bacterium
Lineage: Bacteria
Description: partial 16S ribosomal RNA
Rfam family: Bacterial small subunit ribosomal RNA
Source: RNAcentral